UAAUAUUUUACCUCAAACCUCAAUAUAUUA
Molecule: non-coding RNA, 30 nt
Filed under: Rattus norvegicus (Norway rat)
Lineage: Eukaryota; Metazoa; Chordata; Mammalia; Rodentia; Muridae
Source: RNAcentral